AUUGGUUUAGUGUUUUCCUAUUUUAGGAUUCCUAAUCCUAGCAAUAGUAGGAUUAGUUAUUAGACUAUAAAUACCUAUAUAUUCUAGGUAUUCUAGUAGAGCUUAUCAUUACUGGUAUUGACAAUUGAAAAUUAGUAGAACUUGAGAGUUUAUUUCUUUUUUCAUUUGAUUGUUAUUUGUGACUAUCAAGAAACCACUCAACCUAAAAGUUUAAGCUUGUAGGUGAGAGCCCAAAGAAUAGUUUUAUAUCUCU
Molecule: unclassified non-coding RNA, 253 nt
Filed under: Hevea brasiliensis (rubber tree)
Lineage: Eukaryota; Viridiplantae; Streptophyta; Magnoliopsida; Malpighiales; Euphorbiaceae
Source: RNAcentral